Molecule: ribosomal RNA, 309 nt
Filed under: Platynaspis luteorubra
Lineage: Eukaryota; Metazoa; Arthropoda; Insecta; Coleoptera; Coccinellidae
Description: eukaryotic LSU rRNA
Rfam family: Eukaryotic large subunit ribosomal RNA
Source: RNAcentral
UGACCCGUCUUGAAACACGGACCAAGGAGUCUAGCGUGUGCGCGAGUCAUUGGGAUAUAACUAAACCUAAAGGCGUAAUGAAAGUAAAAGUUCGUCUUGCACGGACAGAGGGAAGACGGUGGACCUUUAACGAGGUCUACCUGCACUCCCGGGGCGUCUCGUUCUCAUUGCGAGAGGAGGCGCACCAAGAGCGUACACGCUGGGACCCGAAAGAUGGUGAACUAUGCCUGGUCAGGACGAAGUCAGGGGAAACCCUGAUGGAGGUCCGUAGCGAUUCUGACGUGCAAAUCGAUCGUCGGAACUGGGUAU